UCCAUGGGGCGGACACCGCAGGACAGGGCGGUGGCACCAGGCUCGCUAAGUCCCGCAGCUUGUCACUGAUCGGGACCGGGCGGCCGCGCUGCGCUGUAGCGGGCGGAGACUCAAUGCCCAGCGGGGGCAGACACAGACAGGCUCUGCGGGCUGGUCUCAGGUCCAUGCUCCGGAUUUUUGUCAUUUUCUUGAUAACACAACUACCUCAUUCGGAAGCUCUACAGUGCUACGCAGGCGAAUAUGAAAUAAAUGGCGAAUGCUGUCCUAUGUGCACUGCUGGGAGCAGGGUGUUCAAACAUUGUACACAAAAUGUCAGCACAACAUGCAUGCCCUGUGUGGACGACACAUAUACAGAGCAUCCCAAUGGCCUAACAGAGUGCAUGAGAUGUAAAGUCUGCGA
Terrapene triunguis (Three-toed box turtle) is the source of this 400-nucleotide long non-coding RNA. RefSeq lists it as uncharacterized. NCBI's taxonomy places the organism in Eukaryota, Metazoa, Chordata, Testudines, Emydidae. The record is from RefSeq and is a predicted model, not a curated record. The transcript has 3 exons.